Long non-coding RNA from Oncorhynchus keta (chum salmon), 466 nucleotides. RefSeq lists it as uncharacterized. Lineage: Eukaryota; Metazoa; Chordata; Actinopteri; Salmoniformes; Salmonidae. The record is from RefSeq and is a predicted model, not a curated record. The transcript has 3 exons.
UACUCUCUGGUUAACUGGGUCUCAUCUCUAGUUCUACUGCAGCUAUUCCAUAGGUCUCUCUGGUUAACUGGGUCUCAUCUCUAGUUCUACUGCAGCUAUUCCAUAGGACUCUGGUUAACUGGGUCUCAUCUCUAGUUCUACUGCAGCUAUUCCAUAGGACUCUCUGGUUAACUGGGUCUCAUCUCUAGUUCUACUGCAGCUAUUCCAUAGGUCUCUGGUUAACUGGGUCUCAUCUCUAGUUCUACUGCAGCUAUUCCAUAGGUCUCUCUGGUUAACUGGGUCUCAUCUCUAGUUCUACUGCAGCUAUUCCAUAGGUCUCUCUGGUUAACUGGGUCUCAUCUCUAGUUCUACUGCAGCUAUUCCAUAGGUCUCUCUGGUUAACUGGGUCUCAUCUCUAGUUCUACUGCAGCUAUUCCAUAGGACUCUCUGGUUAACUGGGUCUCAUCUCUAGUUCUACUGCAGCUAU